Molecule: non-coding RNA, 2419 nt
Organism: Callithrix jacchus (white-tufted-ear marmoset)
Lineage: Eukaryota; Metazoa; Chordata; Mammalia; Primates; Cebidae
Source: RefSeq, a predicted model, not a curated record
AUGCCCUUGGCCACCAGCCACAGCGGGAGCGGCAGCAAGUCAUCGGGGCCACCACCGGGUAGGGUUUCUCCGGGAGCGGGGCAGCUGCAGGAGCCGGGCGGCGGCGCCAGCUUCUCAGCACCCUGCAACCGGCACUGGCACUGUGCAGAUGGAGGCCAUGAAGCAGAUCCUUGGGGUGAUCAACAAGAAACUGCGGAACCUGGAGAAGAAAAAGGGUAAGGUUGAUGAUUACCAGGAACGAAUGAACAAAGGGGAAAGGCUUAAUCAAGAUCAGCUGGAUGCCGUUUCUAAGUACCAGGAAGUCACCAAUAAUUUGGAGUUUGCAAAAGAAUUACAGAGGCGUUUCAUGGCACUAAGUCAAGAUAUUCAGAAAACAAUAAAGAAGACAGCACGUCAGGAGCACCUUAUGAGAGAAGAAGCUGAACAGAAACGUUUAAAAACUGUACUUGAGCUACAGUAUGUUUUGGACAAACUGGGAGAUGAUGAAGUGUGAACUGACCUGAAACAAGGUUUGAAUGGAGUGCCUAUAUUGUCCGAAGAGGAAUUGUCAUUGUUGGAUGAAUUCUAUAAUUCAACUGACCCUGAACGGGACAUGAGCUUGAGGUUGAAUGAACAGUAUGAACAUGCUUCCAUUCACCUGUGGGACCUGCUGGAAGGGAAGGAAAAAUCUGUAUGUGGAACCACAUAAAGUUCUAAAGGAAAUUAUCGACUGUGUUCUUCAGUCAAACUACUUUGACAACACCCACAACCACCAGAAUGGGUUGCGUGAGGAAGAAGAGGCAGCCGCAGCACGUACAGUUGAAGACCAGAUAGCUGAAGCUGAACCUGAGCCAGCAGAGAGUACACUGAGCAAAAUAAAGUUGAAUCCACAGAGGAUGCAAAUAGACAGUUCAUGGCAGAAACACAGUACACCAGUGGUGAAAAGGAGCAGGUAGAUGAGUGGACAGUUGAAACAGUUGAGGUGGUAAAUUCACUCCAGGAGCAACCGCAGGCUGCAUCCUCUUCAGUACCGCAGCCCCACUCUCUGACUAGAGUGGCUCAGGCAGAUUCCCUUGUGAGAAGACAGUGAGUGCAAGACCUUAUGGCACAGAUGCAGGGUCUGUAUAAUUUCAUACAGAAUUCAAUGCUGGAUUUUGAAAAUGAGACACUUGAUCCUGCCAUUGUAUCUGCACAGCCUAUGAAUCCAGCACAAAACAUGGACAUGCCCCAGCUGGUUUGACCUCCAGUUCAGUCUGAAUCUAGACUUGCUCAGCCUAAUCAAGUUCCUGUACAACCAGAAGCUACAAGGUUCCUCUGGUGUCAUCCACAAGCGAGGGGUAUACAGCAUCUCAACCUUUGUACCAGCCUUCUCAUGCUACAGAGCAAUGACCACAGAAGGAACCAAUCAAUCAGAUUCAGGCAACAAUCUCUUUAAAUACAGACCAGACUACAGCAUCAUCAUCCCUUUCUGCUGCUUCUCAGCCUCAAGUAUUUCAGGCUGGGACAAGCAAACCUUUACAUAGUGGUGGAAUUAAUGCAAAUGCAGCUCCAUUCCAAUCCAUGGAAACGGUGUUCAAUAUGAAUACCCCAGUUCCCCCUGUUAAUGAACCAGCAACUUUAAAACAGCAAAAUCAGUACCAGACGAGUUAUAACUAGAGCUUUUCUAGUCAGCCUCACCAAGUAGAAGAAACAGAGCUUCAGCAAGAACAGCUUCAAACAGUGGUGGGCACUUACCAUGGUUCCCCAGACCAGUCCCAUCAAGUGAUGGGAACCACCAGCAGCUUCCUCAGCGGAACAGUGGAUUUCCACGUAGCAGUCAGCCCUAUUACAAUAGCUGUGGUGUGUCUCAUGGAGGUUCUCGUGGUGCUAGAAGCUUGAUGAAUGGAUACCGGGGCCCUGCCAAAGGACUCAAAGGAGGAUAUGAUGGUUGCCACCCUUCAUUCUCUAACACUCCAAACAGUGGUUAUACACGAUCUCAGUUCAAUGCUCCCUGGGAUUACUCUGGCUAUCAACGGGUUGGAUAUCAGCAGAAUUUCAAGCAAGGCUCUGGGCAGAGUGGACCAUGGGGAGCCCCACAAGGUUGUGGAGGGCCCCCAAGACUCAACAGAGGGAUGCUGCAAAUGAACACUCAGCAAGUGAAUUAAUCUGAUUCACAGGAUUAUGCUUAAUGGCCAAAAACACACUGGCCAGUGUACUGUAAUAUGUUACCAGAAAAGUUAUUAUCUAUUUGUUCUCACUUUCAGGAAACUUAUUGUAAAGGGACUGUUUUCAUCCCAUAAAGACAGGACUACAAUUGUCAGCUUUAUAUUACCUGGAUAUGGAAGGAAAUUAUUUUUACUCUGCAUGUUCUGUCCUAAGUGUCAUCUUGAGCCUUGCACAUGUUACUCAGAUUCCUCACCCUUGCUUAGGAGUAAAACAAUGUACUUUACAGGGUGAUAAU